GUGGGAGGAAGCACAUCUGUAACGCAUUUAUGUGAUGUUCACCUUUGAGACCGUGCGGCUGGAUGGAGGCGUUUUAAUUUCUACAUCUAAAUUUUGGAUCCAUAUGGAGUUUGUCCUGGUGUCCUGGUCUCCAGCUUUAUUGGUCUCCAGCUUGUUUCCCAGUCGUGCCGACACCAUUUAUUAAAACGUUCAUCUUUACCUGCCUGAUAUAAGAGGCCACCUCUAUCAACACUAAAUUCCAGUGUAUUUUGGGGCCCUGUCAGCCUCAUGGGCAACCAGUCAUGAAGGACUGCUGUGUUGGCUGCUACUGAGACAGAAAGGAUGCAGGUGAGGGGAUCUCACCUCGUUGGAGAACCUUCCUUCAUCUUUCAGAGGAGGAAGCUGAGGUUGGAGUGACCUCUAAACGUGGGUUCUCAGAUGAAGGGAACAUCAGACCUCAGUGGAAACCAAAGACAUUAGAGCUGGAAGGUCCAGGGAAGGUCCAAGAAAAAGGGC
Pteropus alecto (black flying fox) is the source of this 495-nucleotide long non-coding RNA. RefSeq lists it as uncharacterized. Lineage: Eukaryota; Metazoa; Chordata; Mammalia; Chiroptera; Pteropodidae. The record is from RefSeq and is a predicted model, not a curated record. The transcript has 4 exons.